This 240-nucleotide unclassified non-coding RNA is filed under the name plant metagenome. RNAcentral's name for it is "partial contains small subunit ribosomal RNA, internal transcribed spacer 1, and 5.8S ribosomal RNA". The record is from RNAcentral.
UUUCCGUAGGUGAACCAGCGGAGGGAUCAUUACCGAGUGUGAGUCUCUCAGCCACGACCUCCAACCCUGUGUUUUUUACACCUUGUUGCUUUGGCGGGCCCGCCUCGCUGGGAAGCCGCCGGCAGCUCACCGCUUUGGCGCCGUGCCCGUCAAUAGCCCCCUUAAAUUCUUAAUAAACCUGUCUGCUGAGUUAAUCGUAUUAUUGAAAAAAAACUUUCAACAACGGAUCUCUUGGUUCUG